Molecule: ribosomal RNA, 384 nt
Filed under: uncultured bacterium
Lineage: Bacteria
Description: bacterial SSU rRNA
Rfam family: Archaeal small subunit ribosomal RNA
Source: RNAcentral
GCGCGAAAACUUUACAAUGCUGGCAACAGCGAUAAGGGAACCUCGAGUGCCAGGUUACAAAUCUGGCUGUCGAGAUGCCUAAAAAGCAUUUCAUAGCAAGGGCUGGGCUAGACCGGUGCCAGCCGCCGCGGUAACACCAGCGGCUCGAGUGGUAACCGUUAUUAUUGGGUCUAAAGGGUCUGUAGCCGGCCGGAUAAGUCUCUUGAGAAAUCUGGCAGCUUAACUGUCAGGCUUUCAGGAGAUACUGUCUGGCUCGAGGCCGGGAGAGGUGAGAGGUACUUCAGGGGUAGGGGUGAAAUCUUGUAAUCCUUGAAGGACCACCAGUGGCGAAGGCGUCUCACCAGAACGGACCUGACGGCAAGGGACGAAAGCUAGGGGCACGAA